RNAcentral lists this ribosomal RNA (107 nucleotides) under Octodon degus (degu). The record is from RNAcentral. Lineage: Eukaryota; Metazoa; Chordata; Mammalia; Rodentia; Octodontidae.
UGUUAUGGCCAUACCACCCUGAAUGUACCCAAACUCAUCUGAUCUUGGAAGCUAAGAAAGGUCAGGCCUGGGUAGUACUUGGAUAGGAAAGCAUUCAGCUUUAUUGC